Molecule: ribosomal RNA, 107 nt
Filed under: Mus musculus (house mouse)
Lineage: Eukaryota; Metazoa; Chordata; Mammalia; Rodentia; Muridae
Source: RNAcentral
UUCUAUGGCCAUGCCAUCCUGAAUAUGCCUGAUCUCAUCCAUCUUGGAAGCUAAGCAGGGUUGGCCCUGGUUAGUAUUUGGAUGGGAGACAAGGCCACUGCUAUGAC